GUACACGACUAGACAGGAUAAGGUGCUCUGGCACCGAAUAUAGCACACCUUACUCGGCUAUACUGUAGACGGGUAAAGGGGUGUUACAAAUCACAGAAGCCCUAGCCAAUUUAUUUGGCCCAUUUAAGCCCUUAAGAUUCAAAAAAAUACAAAACAAGACCUAAAUUAUCUAUAAAGUAAAUCAAAUAAGCCAAAAACACAAUCACAUGUUUCACAUGAUAAACGAACGUUACCGGAUCAUCCAUUUCAUCAGAGACAAGCCUAAUGUGAUUCUCUAUCCUCCACAAGGCCACUAAGUAGGCAUGGCUAGUUGGGAAGAAGCUCUAGGAAUAGUUGGAGUUCUUUUAGAGCACUGUACAAUCAUUCCUUGUCCUUUUCUCCUUUUCUCAAAUUGGAAGACAAGAGAACCAUCUUCAAC
RNAcentral lists this unclassified non-coding RNA (418 nucleotides) under Hevea brasiliensis (rubber tree). Lineage: Eukaryota; Viridiplantae; Streptophyta; Magnoliopsida; Malpighiales; Euphorbiaceae. The record is from RNAcentral.